Molecule: small RNA, 1136 nt
Filed under: Pan troglodytes (chimpanzee)
Lineage: Eukaryota; Metazoa; Chordata; Mammalia; Primates; Hominidae
Description: processed transcript
Source: RNAcentral
CUUUCCGGCUGGAAUGGGGAAUUUGUGAGGUAGGCCGGAAGUGGUGUUGCGGAGGGAACUGUGGGGAGAGCAGAGGGGCAGCUCUGCUGGAGAGACCUGAGGCUUGCAUCGCUGGGCCCGGCCGGGUCGCUGCGGCUGGGCUGGAGGUCAAGGAUGCAUUCCAGGAAAGUUCUAUAAAAAUAUACCAUCAACUCCAACCUGAUAUUUGACCUAGCCAUGGAAAACCUCAUUGGCUCCUCACUGGAUCAGACCAUAAAAAUGAUCCAGGAAUGAAAAUCUAAGAUAAAUUCCCACCACUUCAAGAUGUUCUUAUACAAGUCAACAGUCUAGCAGAUCAGCCAGUCUCUUUCAUCAUCAAGCAGACAUACUCAAGUGCCAAUUAUAACAUUUUAAUCAAACUGGAACAAAUUGCUAUUAAAAUGGAUCAUUUCUUUAUUAAAAGAAAGAGGAAUAGUGAAGUGAAAUACACAGAAGCAUGUUCAAGUUCAUCUGUUGAAUCUGGAAUUGUGAAUAGUGACAAUAUUGAGAAAAAUACUGACUCCAAUCUGCAAACUUCAACUUCAUUUGAGCCACAUUUCAAAAAGAAAAAAAAGAAAAAUUUGAAACAUUAAGGGAAAACAGUUGGGUAAAAGAUCCAUUUGCUUUUCGAAACCCUGAAUCAAUAAUUGAGCUAAACUUGGUGCCUGAAGAAGAGAAUGAAUUAUUGCAGCUUAGUUCUUCAUAUACAUUGAAGAAUGAUUAUGAAACCUUAAGUUUAUCAGCAUUUUGGAUGAAGGUAAAGGAAGACUUUCCAUUGUUAAGUAGAAAGAGUGUCCUGCUAUUGCUACCAUUCACAACAACUAGUUUGUGUGAACUAGGGUUUUCCAUCUUAACGCAGUUAAAAACAAAGGAAAGAAAUGGGCUGAAUUGUGCAGCAGCUAUGCGGGUAGCAUUAUCUUCCUGUGUUCCAGACUGGAAUGAACUUAUGAACAGGCAAGCACACCCAUCAUAGUAAAUAAAAAUCUUACCUAGCUUUUGUCUUUGUAUUUCUUAUUUUGUAGUAUUUUUCUAUGUUAUAUUUAAAUGGUACUAUAAUAUUGUGAUACUUUUGUUAUGUUUUAAUUUUUGUUAUAUUUAAUAAAAUUAUUUUAUGUUCA